GGGCGGGGCGGGGCCGGGCACGAGGCAGCGCGGGCGGUCCCGCCGGGCCGAGGAGCGGCUUCACCCGCGCGCGGUCGCGCUUCCGCUUCCGGUGUCCGCGCCCGGCGCCCCUCCGCCGCGACGCCCACGCGGGACGGCGGCACACGGGGCGCAGGGCGCAUGCGCGCGCCGCCGGCGUCCCCGCGUUGCCCCGGAUACCGCGGGCAGUGAGGGCCGCGCAUGCGCCCUGAGCCUCGCGGCCCCGCCCGGGCCCCGCGGUUGCCGUGGAGACGCGGCCUGGGCCGGACCCGCCGGGACCGAGCCGUGCCGAGCGGUGCCGGACCCGCCGGGACGCGGGACCCGCCCUCACAGUCCGGUCCCGCUGCGGGAACCACGUGUCAGAAUAGCUGCUCUGCAAACCCCGAGGCUAUGAGCUGCGGGUCAAGCGAGGCUUGCAGACAGGGAAACCCAACAAUUAUUGACUGUAUUCAUUGUUGGACUUGAAGCAGGAGGGGAAGCACACAAGAUGUUUGGAAACUGUAUUUCAUCUGACCACUUCAACAUGGGAAAAAUAAAAUCACCAGCCAGCUAACCAGAAAAGAAGAUAGUCCAGUGGGAAACAAACAUCUGUUUCUGACUGCUGGAAUCAGGUAAGUGAUUUUAAUUCUUUCCUUUUCUCUCUCUCUCCCCCUUUCCCUUUUUUUUCACAGAAGCACAAAAUCAUAGAGUUUAGAGGGGAUAUCUGAUGGUCAUCUUCUCCAGUCCCCCUUCUAAUGCAGCCUGGGACAGGGUUAGCCUUCUUUACUGCAAGAGAAUGUUGUUGGCUUGUGUAAAUGGUGGCUUUUCCCUUUUUCUUUUUCUUUCCCCACACU
Non-coding RNA from Taeniopygia guttata (zebra finch), 851 nucleotides. NCBI's taxonomy places the organism in Eukaryota, Metazoa, Chordata, Aves, Passeriformes, Estrildidae. The record is from RefSeq and is a predicted model, not a curated record.